Erinaceus europaeus (western European hedgehog) is the source of this 448-nucleotide non-coding RNA. The record is from the annotation of a RefSeq genome assembly. NCBI's taxonomy places the organism in Eukaryota, Metazoa, Chordata, Mammalia, Eulipotyphla, Erinaceidae.
AAAUGAGUCCCACAGUUUCUCUGUGUGAGCAAAGCUCUGGGACAUCUGCACCAUGGCCUGGGCUGCUCUCUCCCUCCUCACACUGCUCCUCCACUGCACAGGGUCCCUCUCCAACCCUUCACUGACUCAGCCGCCCUCCUCAAGUGUCUCCCUGGGAGCCUCAGCCAAGCUCAGCUGCACCCUCAACAGCGGCUACAAUAGCUACAUUGUGAGCUGGUACCAGCAGAGCCCAGGGAAGGGCCCCCAGUUUGUAAUGCUAGUGGGACCCAAUGGUCUUGUCGGAAAUAAGGGGAACGGGAUCCCUGAUCGCUUCUCAGGCUCAGGCUCAGGCCUGGAUCGAUACCUCACCAUCCAGAACUCCCAGGCAGAGGAUGAGGCUGACUACCACUGUGGGGUUGAUGAUGGUAAUGGGAGAAAACUUUUGUAACCCACAGUGACACAGGCAGAG